RNAcentral lists this ribosomal RNA (484 nucleotides) under uncultured bacterium. RNAcentral describes it as "partial 16S ribosomal RNA". It matches the Rfam family "Bacterial small subunit ribosomal RNA", at positions 28 to 523 of the family's 1533-position model. The record is from RNAcentral.
GACGAACGCUGGCGGCGUGCUUAACACAUGCAAGUCGAACGAUGAAGCCGGAGCUUGCUCUGGUGAAUUAGUGGCGAACGGGUGAGUAACACGUGAGUAACCUGCCCUUGACUCUGGGAUAACUGCGGGAAACUGUAGCUAAUACCGGAUACGACCCUCGGAGGCAUCUCCUGGGGGUGGAAAGAAUUUCGGUCAAGGAUGGACUCGCGGCCUAUCAGCUAGUUGGUGAGGUAAAGGCUAACCAAGGCGACGACGGGUAGCCGGCCUGAGAGGGUGACCGGCCACACUGGGACUGAGACACGGCCCAGACUCCUACGGGAGGCAGCAGUGGGGAAUAUUGCACAAUGGGCGCAAGCCUGAUGCAGCAACGCCGCGUGAGGGAUGACGGCCUUCGGGUUGUAAACCUCUUUUAGUAGGGAAGAAGCGAAAGUGACGGUACCUGCAGAAAAAGCACCGGCUAACUACGUGCCAGCAGCCGCCGUAA